CCUACGGGCGGCUGCAGUGGGGAAUAUUGGACAAUGGGCGCAAGCCUGAUCCAGCCAUGCCGCGUGUGUGAAGAAGGCCUUCGGGUUGUAAAGCACUUUUGUCCGGAAAGAAAUCCCUGGAGCUAAUACCUUCGGGGGAUGACGGUACCGGAAGAAUAAGCACCGGCUAACUUCGUGCCAGCAGCCGCGGUAAUACGAAGGGUGCAAGCGUUACUCGGAAUUACUGGGCGUAAAGCGUGCGUAGGCGGUUCGUUAAGUCUGAUGUGAAAUCCCCGGGCUCAACCUGGGACGUGCAUUGGAAACUGGCGAUCUAGAGUACGGUAGAGGGUGGUGGAAUUCCCGGUGUAGCAGUGAAAUGCGUAGAGAUCGGGAGGAACACUCGUGGCGAAGGCGGCCACCUGGACCAGUACUGACGCUGAGGCACGAAAGCGUGGGGAGCAAACAGGAUUAGAUACCCCAGUAGUC
Molecule: ribosomal RNA, 465 nt
Filed under: uncultured Lysobacteraceae bacterium
Lineage: Bacteria; Pseudomonadati; Pseudomonadota; Gammaproteobacteria; Lysobacterales; Lysobacteraceae
Also listed under: 1 other name
Description: bacterial SSU rRNA
Rfam family: Bacterial small subunit ribosomal RNA
Source: RNAcentral